This is a non-coding RNA of Triticum urartu, 1990 nucleotides long. The record is from RefSeq and is a predicted model, not a curated record. Lineage: Eukaryota; Viridiplantae; Streptophyta; Magnoliopsida; Poales; Poaceae.
UACCAUCUCUCCUCAUAUCCUCCCAGAUUCUCGAUUGGAGCGGGGGACAGACGCCGCCACAGGCCACCGGGGACGCCUCUGCAUUGUCGUCGGCUGGACGAGGAAAACAGCAAGAUGCUGGCCUAUGCAUCGGACGUGGGCCGCUUCAGCUUUAGGGGAGAUUUGACUAUGGCGCAAGGUCCCCCACUUCCUUGUUGUGGCGCUGCAGCGUCAUGGGCCCUUCUGAAGGGAGAGGGAGGCACAUCGGAGGGUGGUAGCAGGUGCGUCUUGCUAAAGCAACCAGUGGUUGUCGUGGCCUGAAGCAGCAAGUAUUAUGGAGAUUGAUGGACUAGGUGCUUCCAGCCGCAGUCCAUCGUGCUCUCGGUUGCUGACCUUGAGGUCCGGCGACAACUGCCCGUCGCUUAGGGGAUGCUUCUAAGCUGCAAUGCUCCAUAUCCGAUGCAAUAUAUUUCUGCUUUAUUGAAGAGGACUAACUUGUGCUGGGAAAGAUUCCUGAAGGUGAUGUCAGAUCAUUGGUAAAUAACAAGGAAUCCUUGGAACCUGUCAUCCUGUAGUAUUUGUCUGCGAUAGACCUGGAUUGUAGGAUUGCAUGAGUUGGGGCUUGCGAUUGCCCAUUGUGGUGCACAGUACUGGCAGGGGUGGCUGUUUGUUUACUGCAGGGGGUGUUGAUCUGCUGCCCCAUUAUUUGAUUACAUGUUUGAUGCUCUCCAAAAAAUGCUACAAAGAAUCGAUAGGGAGGCAGAAGAGAGGACAUGCCGGGGAAUGAAGGAGAACAAACAGUGUCUCAGGCACACAAGCUAAAGGUUCACCAAGUUCAGGGAAAGAAAAGUUUCCCUAGACAUGUGGCGGCGGCUGUCAAGACAAGAGCGGCGCUGUGAGCGACAGCCCUCGAUCGUCUUCCUUGUGGAAUCAGGUACGCGUCGUCCAUCGUGGGUGUUGGCGGGUGGCCGGAGGCGGCUACAUCAGGCCAGUGUCCGUGAUCAAGACUGACACCGGGAAGGCUGCCGGUCUACAGUUGUGCACUCAAUUCAAAUGAUUAUUCUCCGUUCUUUGCCUCAGAACUACAUAUGAGAGGUACAAAGGGUUGGCCAAGAUACUCAAUUAAGCUAUUCGAUUUAAGGCCAGGGUGUAUCGCUCUUUUUCCUUGCCUUUCACAGGUCCUUUGCUGAUGUUGGUUGUGUCCUUGCUGCUUGGAGAGGGGGUGAGGGCAGAGGACUUUGAUGCCAGAAAUAGGCGAGUAUUUUCAGGUCCACUACACCAAAGAAAAGCUGAAAGAGUACAUCAAACCAGAUGAUGACACACUCAAGGUCAAGCUCGCAAACAGCAGUCUGCACACCAGUUGUCGUAUCAUGCUGGGAACAGACAAGAGAGCCACAAUAACCAGAAACUGGUCGGAGUUCCGCCACCGUGCAAACAUCCAUGAAGGAUUGUAUCUGCGCCUUUUGUUUCAAGGUUACCGCAGAGCACCGCCUGACUCUCAUCGUCCAUGUCCUCUAGACGGACCAUCUACAGCAACCCAUGCCUUUUGCAUGCAUAGCCUGUCGUCUUAAGAAGAUCUAAUUUGCCUCUAUGAUAAGAUGAACCUUACCUGUGGUUGCCGACGAUGCCAUACGUUGCUUUUGUACAACUGCCGGUGAUACUAUAACCUAUGUAACCCCAGUUAUUAUUACCCGGCAGCACAUCCAUCUAUUGAUCUUACGUAUGAUUUUCUAUCGUUGCUGCUUUCCUCUGCUUCAAUCAUCAGUUAUUUGACAACAACGCUGAACAAUCUGCACAAGUACUAAUGGAGCCUGGAUGAUGAUGUUGAAGGGAUUUCUGUUAUGAACAAUGAGAACAUUCAACCCCAGCCACUAUGAACAAUCGCAGCGCCGAUGGUCCAACAAGCAUAAAGCCUAUGAGAUGAAUCUCCCCCUUUCUACCUUACUUCCCAAUAGCAUUGUAAACAUUCUAUCAUAAGCUCCUAAUAUCAUAUUCUAUCAUGAAUGAUCCA